CAGCCGCCGCGGUAAUACCGGCGGCCCGAGUGGCGGUCACUAUUAUUGGGCUUAAAGCGUCCGUAGCCGGGUUGGGAAGUCCUCCGGGAAAUCUGGCCGCUUAACGGUCAGAAUGCCGGAGGAUACUCCCAGCCUAGGGAGCGGGAGAGGCCGAGGGGAUUCCCGGAGUAGGGGGGAAAUCCUAUAAUCCCGGGGGGACCACCUGUGGCGAAGGCGCCCGGCUGGAACGGGUCCGACGGUGAGGGACGAAGGCCGGGGGAGCAAACCGGAUUAGAUACCCGGGUAGUCCCGGCUGUAAACGCUGCGGGCUAGGUGUCGGGAGUUCCUUGGGAACUCCCGGUGCCGAAGGGAAGCCGGAAGCCCGCCGCCUGGGGAGUACGGCCGCAAGGCUGAAACUUAAAGGAAUUGGCGGG
Molecule: ribosomal RNA, 413 nt
Filed under: uncultured microorganism
Description: bacterial SSU rRNA
Rfam family: Archaeal small subunit ribosomal RNA
Source: RNAcentral